CGCGCAGUGGUGUAACGGCAACAUGCCGGGCUCAUAAUCCGGGUGAUCUGGGUUCGAAUCCCAGCUGCGCCA
RNAcentral lists this transfer RNA (72 nucleotides) under Actinomadura sp. HBU206391. RNAcentral describes it as "tRNA-Met". It matches the Rfam family "tRNA". Rfam says of the family: Transfer RNA (tRNA) molecules are approximately 80 nucleotides in length. Their secondary structure includes four short double-helical elements and three loops (D, anti-codon, and T loops). Lineage: Bacteria; Bacillati; Actinomycetota; Actinomycetes; Streptosporangiales; Thermomonosporaceae. The record is from RNAcentral.